This 941-nucleotide ribosomal RNA is filed under the name uncultured bacterium. Its description in RNAcentral is "bacterial SSU rRNA". It matches the Rfam family "Bacterial small subunit ribosomal RNA", at positions 1 to 971 of the family's 1533-position model. The record is from RNAcentral.
CCCCUUAGAGUUUGAUCAUGGCUCAGGAUGAACGCUAGCGGCAGGCUUAACACAUGCAAGUCGAGGGGUAUAGGAAGCUUGCUUCCUAGAGACCGGCGCACGGGUGCGUAACGCGUAUGCAAUCUACCUUUUACGGGGGGAUAGCCCAAAGAAAUUUGGAUUAAUACCCCAUAGUAUUAUAGAAUGGCAUCUUUUUAUAAUUAAAGUCACAACGGUAAAAGAUGAGCAUGCGUCCCAUUAGCUAGUUGGUAAGGUAACGGCUUACCAAGGCGACGAUGGGUAGGGGUCCUGAGAGGGAGAUCCUCCACACUGGUACUGAGACACGGACCACACUCCUACGGGAGGCAGCAGUGAGGAAUAUUGGUCAAUGGACGCAAGUCUGAACCAGCCAUGCCGCGUGCAGGAUGACGGUCCUAUGGAUUGUAAACUGCUUUUGUACAAGAAAAACCCCUCUUUCGUGAAAGAGAUUGACGGUACUGUAAGAAUAAGGAUCGGCUAACUCCGUGCCAGCAGCCGCGGUAAUACGGAGGAUCCAAGCGUUAUCCGGAAUCAUUGGGUUUAAAGGGUCCGUAGGCGGUUUUGUAAGUCAGUGGUGAAAUCUGGUCGCUCAACGAUCAAACGGCCAUUGAUACUGCAAGACUUGAAUUACUAGGAAGUAACUAGAAUAUGUAGUUGUAGCGGUGAAAUGCUUAUAUAUUACAUGGAAUACCAAUUGCGAGGCAGGUUACUACUAGUGGAUUGACGCUGAUGGACGAAGCGUGGAGAGCGACAGAUUAGAUACCCUGUUAGUCACGCAGUAACGAUGAAUACUAGCUGUAGGAGCAUUUCCGUGCUUAGCGAAGUGAUAGUUCAGCUGGGGAGUACGACGCUAGUUCGACUGAGAUGACGGUCGCAGUCGGAAAACCAGUGGAUUAAUUUCAUAGAAUAACGCGGAGCAAACU